RNAcentral lists this ribosomal RNA (478 nucleotides) under uncultured bacterium. RNAcentral's name for it is "partial 16S ribosomal RNA". It matches the Rfam family "Bacterial small subunit ribosomal RNA", at positions 28 to 521 of the family's 1533-position model. The record is from RNAcentral.
GACGAACGCUGGCGGCGUGCUUAACACAUGCAAGUCGAACGGUAAGGCCCUUCGGGGUACACGAGUGGCGAACGGGUGAGUAACACGUGGGUGAUCUGCCCUGCACUUCGGGAUAAGCCUGGGAAACUGGGUCUAAUACCGGAUAGGACCACUGCCUGCAUGGGUGGGGGUGGAAAGCUUUUGCGGUGUGGGAUGGGCCCGCGGCCUAUCAGCUUGUUGGUGGGGUGAUGGCCUACCAAGGCGACGACGGGUAGCCGGCCUGAGAGGGUGACCGGCCACACUGGGACUGGGAUACGGCCCAGACUCCGACGGGAGGCAGCAGUGGGGAAUAUUGCACAAUGGGCGCAAGCCUGAUGCAGCAACGCCGCGUGAGGGAUCACGGCCUUCGGGUUGUAAACCUCUUUCAGCACCGACGAAGCGCAAGUGACGGUAGGUGCAGAAGAAGGACCGGCCAACUACGUGCCAGCAGCCCCGCCGU